RNAcentral lists this ribosomal RNA (401 nucleotides) under uncultured bacterium. RNAcentral's name for it is "bacterial SSU rRNA". It matches the Rfam family "Bacterial small subunit ribosomal RNA", at positions 28 to 435 of the family's 1533-position model. The record is from RNAcentral.
GACGAACGCUGGCGGCGUGCUUAACACAUGCAAGUCGAGCGGUAAGGCCCUUUCGGGGGUACACGAGCGGCGAACGGGUGAGUAACACGUGGGUGACCUGCCCUCAGCUCUGGGAUAAGCCUGGGAAACCGGGUCUAAUACCGGAUAUGACUCCAUGACGCAUGUUGUGGGGUGGAAAGCCUUGUGCGGCUGAGGAUGGGCCCGCGGCCUAUCAGCUUGUUGGUGGGGUGAUGGCCUACCAAGGCGACGACGGGUAGCCGGCCUGAGAGGGCGACCGGCCACACUGGGACUGAGACACGGCCCAGACUCCUACGGGAGGCAGCAGUGGGGAAUCUUGCGCAAUGGGCGAAAGCCUGACGCAGCGACGCCGCGUGAGGGAUGACGGCCUGGUGUAACGUCUU